UGUGUAGUGUGGUGUAGUGUAGUGUAGUGUAGUGUAGUGUGGUGUGUUGUGGUGUAGUGUGUGCUAGAUUUGGUCUGCCCAAUGUGGACUCAAUCCCUCUGAUCUGAACAAAGAGAGAACACAAAUGUCCAUCCCCUCGCCAGUUUUUUGCUCUCCUCCCUCUCUCUCUGUUUUCAUGUCGUUGUUGUUGUUGUUGUUUUUGGGGGGUGCCCAGUUGUGCUGCUACUGUUCCCUAUCAUCCUGCUCCAUGUCUCUCUCUCUCUCUCUCUCUCUCUCUCAUCCUGC
This is a long non-coding RNA of Clupea harengus (Atlantic herring), 285 nucleotides long. NCBI's taxonomy places the organism in Eukaryota, Metazoa, Chordata, Actinopteri, Clupeiformes, Clupeidae. The record is from Ensembl.